GCUAAGCCCUAAACAUUGAUUAGCCACAUACAACUUCUCCGCCAGAGAACUACAAGUGAAAAACUUGAAACUCAAAGGACUUGACGGUGUCCCAUAUCGGCCUAGAGGAGCCUGUCCUAUAAUCGAUACUCCACGUUUUACCUAACCCUAACUAGCACAUAUCAGCCUAUAUACCGCCGUCGACAGCCUACCCUAUGAAGGUCUAACAGUAGACACAAUAACCUAACCGCUAGAACGUCAGGUCAAGGUGUAGCAAAUGCUAGGGAAGAGAUUGGCUACAUUUUUUAUAAUAAAAAACACGAAAAGUACUAUGAAACCGUACAUGAAGGUGAAUUUAGCAGUAAAAUAAAUAAGAGUAUUUAUUUUAACAACGCUCUGGGACGCGUACACACCGCCCGUCACCCUCCUCAAACAACAUAAACUAUCUUUAUAAACCAAAAAAGUUAUAUAGAGGAGGC
This 458-nucleotide ribosomal RNA is filed under the name Lacerta trilineata. Its description in RNAcentral is "partial 12S ribosomal RNA". It matches the Rfam family "Bacterial small subunit ribosomal RNA", at positions 794 to 1482 of the family's 1533-position model. Lineage: Eukaryota; Metazoa; Chordata; Lepidosauria; Squamata; Lacertidae. The record is from RNAcentral.